Molecule: ribosomal RNA, 253 nt
Filed under: uncultured bacterium
Lineage: Bacteria
Description: partial 16S ribosomal RNA
Rfam family: Bacterial small subunit ribosomal RNA
Source: RNAcentral
UACGUAGGGUCCGAGCGUUGUCCGGAAUUAUUGGGCGUAAAGGGCUCGUAGGCGGUUAGUCACGUCGGGAGUGAAAACUCAGGGCUCAACCCUGAGCGUGCUUCCGAUACGGGCUGACUAGAGGUAUGCAGGGGAGAACGGAAUUCCUGGUGUAGCGGUGGAAUGCGCAGAUAUCAGGAGGAACACCGGUGGCGAAGGCGGUUCUCUGGGCAUUUACUGACGCUGAGGUGCGAAAGCGUGGGGAGCAAACAGG